CAAAAGUCCUUUUUUUUUUGCCCGACAAAAGUAAACCAAACACCCUCUAACUAAACCGAAAAUGGCGCAGUCAGUUGUUGGAUCUUCUCUUGUUUACAAAUCUGUGUGGCCGAAAUCGUCUGCAUCAUCAUCACCUAUCUAUUCAACCAGGUCAUUACCUUGUGAAAUUGGUUAUUGAAGAUUCAUAAAUUGAGGAUGAAAAGGGAUUUAGGUUUAUUAAGAGAGAUGCAUCCAAGACAGGCAAAACGGAUAUGUUUGUUGCCAAACGGGACACAUGCGAAGCAGAGAGUGUCACCAGUUGGAUAAUAUGAUUCAGUUAACAUUGGAAUCAUUCAAGUCGUUUCUACAGAAGAAGUUCUAUCCAACUCUUUUUUAUAUACAAAUGAAAAUGGGUAAUGGGAAAGCUUAGGAAGAACUGCAACAGAGAUGAAACACGGGUCGAAUGUUGUUGCAAGUGAUAUACGGUUUCUCUUAUUAUGAUUCUGAUUCAUUUGUCAUCAAUCAUCAAUCAUCAUCUCUUCAUUUGUUUUUUGUGGUUUGUUACAGGAGGAUUUAGUCUGAUUUGUAUUACAUGCAAUGGUCCUACUGAUAGAUGGUGUUUCAGGUUGAAAUUUCAAUUGUUGGUUGCUAGAGAUGAUCAAUUCACCAUACCAUUGUUCAUUCACCUGGUAUGCUUAAUACACUACUUUAGUGCUGACAGGCGACACGGGUGGCGGCAUAGGCGGAAUACUAUUCCACCAUAUUCACCGCACAUCUGUUGCAGUUAACCACCCACACAGGUACUCCGUGAGAAAAUAAUGUCAAUGGAACAUGAAGUUCCUGGAGGCGAGAAAGACAUUGUUACACUUGACGCAUAGUAAUUCUUACUCGAUACUUACUUAUUUUUCCAGAUUUCAUGCAUUCAAUUCCACUCCAAUCUUACAUAUGGAAUUAAAUUACAUUGGAAUCCACAAAAUCCUAUAAACUAUUUCUCAUCUUUUAGGAAAGGAAUUAUUCAUAAGAUAAUAAACUUGGAAGUGUGAGUUCAGUUCUUGAAAUUGUCUAUUCUUGGUAAAAGCUUUGAUUACAGUGUACAACUGUUGACCUCUUAACACAUGUUUUCUUAAAUAAGAGGCGAUAUAUUCAUUACUAGAGAACUCCCAAAUCUCAAGGUAUGAAGCAUUGUAUAGAUCAAGUACAAGUUCAGCUUCUACAACUUUUUAUUAGAAAAUAAGCUCAACAAUAAAUAUUGAUUAUCACAUUUCACAAUCGAUCAACUUGCUGACAUCGCUGUCGGAUGACUCAAAUAUGACAGCUUCUUAAGGGUGGAUCUUCAUCAUGUAUCCUUGUGGUUAUAUGCAUUUUUAACAAGGAAACCAACAACAUUAGCAAAAAAUGGCCGGUUUCACCCAAUAACCAUUUAACUAACUAAUUUACUUUUAUGUGUAUUGUUAUUGCCUUAGCUAUCUUUUAGAUAGAAGAGAACGCAUGAAAGUCCAAAAACCAACUGGGUGGUGCCUACAGGUAUAAAGGACCAUGUGGAAGACAUGAAGUCAAAAUGGAAUUGGACCAUGUUUGGUUCCGCCUUUAAGAAUGGAAUGAGUUUUCAAAUAAAAUUAAUUUCUUUACAGUUUUAGGACCAAAUUUCCCCUGCACACUGUUAUUAUAUCACAACAAUGUAUCAUUUAUAAAAUUUGCUUUGAUUUUUUGGUGAUUACCUUAA
Lactuca sativa (garden lettuce) is the source of this 1702-nucleotide non-coding RNA. NCBI's taxonomy places the organism in Eukaryota, Viridiplantae, Streptophyta, Magnoliopsida, Asterales, Asteraceae. The record is from RefSeq and is a predicted model, not a curated record.